RNAcentral lists this ribosomal RNA (492 nucleotides) under uncultured bacterium. Its description in RNAcentral is "partial 16S ribosomal RNA". It matches the Rfam family "Bacterial small subunit ribosomal RNA", at positions 29 to 507 of the family's 1533-position model. The record is from RNAcentral.
AGUGAACGCUGGCGGUGGGCCUAACACAUGCAAGUCGAACGGCAGCACAGUAAGAGCUUGCUCUUACGGGUGGCGAGUGGCGGACGGGUGAGGAAUACAUCGGAAUCUACUUUUUCGUGGGGGAUAACGUAGGGCAACUUACGCUAAUACCGCAUACGACCUACGGGAGAAAGCAGGAGAUCUUCGCACCUUGCGCGUUUGAAUGAGCCGAUGUCGGAUUAGCUAGUUGGCGUGGUAAAGGCCCACCAAGGCGACGAUGCGUAGCCGGUCUGAGAGGAUGAUCAGCCACACUGGAACUGAGACACGGUCCAGACUCCUACGGGAGGCAGCAGUAGGGAAUAUUGCACAAUGGGCGCAAGCCUGAUGGAGCAACACCGCGUGAGUGAUGAAGGCCUUCGGAUUGUAAAGCUCUGUUAUUAGGAAAGAAAAAAAGCGGAAGAAUAUACGGAUGUGUUGACGGUACCCAAAGAGUAAGCACCGGCUAACUACGUG